This 208-nucleotide ribosomal RNA is filed under the name uncultured bacterium. RNAcentral describes it as "partial 16S ribosomal RNA". It matches the Rfam family "Bacterial small subunit ribosomal RNA", at positions 568 to 774 of the family's 1533-position model. The record is from RNAcentral.
UGCGUAGGCGGUCGGUUAAGUCUGAUGUGAAAUCUUCGAGCUCAACUCGGAAACUGCAUCGGAUACUAGCCGGCUAGAGGAUUGGGAGGGGGGAGUGGAAUUCUCGGUGUAGCAGUGAAAUGCGUAGAUAUCGAGAGGAACACCAGUGGCGAAGGCGACUCCCUGGACAAUUCCUGACGCUGAGGCACGAAAGCUAGGGGAGCAAACA